Molecule: ribosomal RNA, 435 nt
Filed under: uncultured bacterium
Lineage: Bacteria
Description: bacterial SSU rRNA
Rfam family: Bacterial small subunit ribosomal RNA
Source: RNAcentral
AACGCGAAGAACCUUACCUACUCUUGACAUCUAGCGAAGAUUGUAGAGAUACGAUUGUGCCUUCGGGAACGCUAAGACAGGUGCUGCAUGGCUGUCGUCAGCUCGUGUUGUGGAAUGUUGGGUUAAGUCCCGCAACGAGCGCAACCCUUAUCCUUAGUUGCCAGCACGUAAUGGUGGGAACUCUAGGGAGACUGCCGGUGAUAAACCGGAGGAAGGUGGGGACGACGUCAAGUCAUCAUGGCCCUUACGAGUAGGGCUACACACGUGCUACAAUGGUACGUACAGAGGGAGGCAAGCUGGCGACAGUGAGCGGAUCUCUUAAAGCGUAUCGUAGUCCGGAUCGCAGUCUGCAACUCGACUGCGUGAAGUCGGAAUCGCUUGUAAUCGCAAAUCAGAAUGUUGCGGUGAAUACGUUCCCGGGCCUUGUACACACCG